GGUGAGGUGUCUGAGUGGUUAAAAGAACAUACUUGGAAAGUAUGUAUAUAUUAUAAUGUAUCGAGGGUUCAAAUCCCUCCCUCACCA
Molecule: transfer RNA, 87 nt
Filed under: Serratia symbiotica
Lineage: Bacteria; Pseudomonadati; Pseudomonadota; Gammaproteobacteria; Enterobacterales; Yersiniaceae
Description: transfer RNA Serine
Rfam family: tRNA
About the family: Transfer RNA (tRNA) molecules are approximately 80 nucleotides in length. Their secondary structure includes four short double-helical elements and three loops (D, anti-codon, and T loops). Further hydrogen bonds mediate the characteristic L-shaped molecular structure. tRNAs have two regions of fundamental functional importance: the anti-codon, which is responsible for specific mRNA codon recognition, and the 3' end, to which the tRNAs corresponding amino acid is attached (by aminoacyl-tRNA synthetases). tRNAs cope with the degeneracy of the genetic code in two manners: having more than one tRNA (with a specific anti-codon) for a particular amino acid; and 'wobble' base-pairing, i.e. permitting non-standard base-pairing at the 3rd anti-codon position.
Source: RNAcentral